AUACGUAGAAGAAAAAAAAAUCUGAAAAACUCUCUGUGUGGGAUUUUGGAACUCUCUCCCUCAUCUCAACUCCACCUUGAGUUGAAACAGAAGGAAAAGGAAAAAACUGAAAUUAAAUUCCUCAGAAAAUAUCUUCAAAAAUGGCGAAAUCCUUAAUAUAUUCACCGUUUCUGAGUAAUUCACUACCUUCUGUUUCUCGUCAUCAUAGUAGUAACCACCACAUAUUUCCUUUAUCCACUACAACACCUAGUCGCAAAUUCAACAGAAUCAAAUUCAGCUUACAAGAAAUUCCCCCAAUUCAUUCUGUUGAUUUUCAGGCAAUUUAUAAUAGAGCUGGAGGAUUAUUAUAUACACUUGCUGAUGCAGCUGUUGUUGCUGCUGAUUCAGCUACAACUAGUGUAGAUGCUUCUGGUUCUACUGAUGUUGCUGUUCAGAAAAGUGGUGGUUGGUUUGCUUUCAUUUCAGAUGCUAUGGAAGUUGUUCUCAAGGUCUUGAAGGAUGGACUGACAGCUGUACAUGUUCCCUACUCAUAUGGGUUUGCGAUUAUCUUGCUCACUGUACUUGUUAAGGCAGUCACUCUUCCAUUGACGAAGCAGCAGGUUGAGUCAACAUUGGCGAUGCAAAAUCUUCAGCCCAAGAUCAAAGCUAUUCAAGCAAGAUAUGCGGGCAAUCAGGAAAGAAUACAACUUGAGACAUCUCGCCUUUACAAGCAAGCUGGGGUUAAUCCACUGGCAGGGUGUUUCCCAACUUUGGCUACAAUACCGGUCUUUAUUGGGUUAUAUCAAGCUCUUUCAAAUGUAGCAAAUGAGGGAUUGCUGACUGAAGGGUUUUUUUGGAUUCCAUCUUUGGGGGGCCCUACCAGUAUUGCUGCUAGACAAAGUGGAUCUGGCAUUUCGUGGCUUUUUCCAUUUGUGGAUGGACAUCCACCAUUGGGCUGGUCCGAUACUGCAGCUUACCUGGUUUUACCCGUCCUCCUAGUCGCUUCUCAGUUUGUUUCUAUGGAGAUCAUGAAGCCUCCACAGUCAGACGAUCCCAAUAUGAAGAACACACAACUUAUUUUCAAGUUUCUUCCCCUUAUGAUUGGUUACUUCUCUUUAUCCGUCCCAUCAGGGUUGUCAAUUUACUGGUUUACGAACAACAUCCUCUCCACUGCACAACAAGUGUGGUUACGUAAGUUAGGUGGUGCAAAGCCUGCUGUAAGUGAGAAUGCAAGCGGAAUCAUUAGUGCAGGUCAAGCAAAAAGAUCGACAUCUCAACCAUCACGAGCCGGUGAAAGGUUUCGACAGUUGAAAGAAGAAGAGAAGAAAAAAGUGAACAAAGCUCUGCUAUCUGAGGACAAUCAAGUUUUGGACUCUGUGUCUGAUGCUGAUGACGUCUCUGACGAAGAGACAGACAGCAAGGAUGCUCUAGAAGAGGCAUUAGCUUCUAGUGGCAGUACACAGAUUCCCGAUUAUUCAGGUCCAAAGAAGAGCAAGCGAUCAAAGAGGAAGCGUACUGUGUGAACAUGUCAUGUAUGGUAUCCCUUCUUGUAGCUACUGCUUGAGCAAGAAAGGGAGUUGUGAAGUAAUAACAUGGUGAAACCGCAAGGAGGAGGGUUGCCAGGAUAAGGUAAUAGAAAUUUUGCUCAUUGGCGUUAGAAAUCCAGAGAUCGAACAUGAAAGAGAAACCUUCUGAGAAUAACUACACUUUCUAGUACUGCUGCAAAUUUUAAUGUAUUCAAUUCCACCUACUUCAAGAAGGUACUCUCCCGUUGGGCAAGGAAGACUGGUGUCACGUUAUCUUUCUAUGCUUUAGUAGCUUAUGAUUCUUGUUCGCUACUGUCUCCGUUCUGGAAAAGAGAUACUUUCACUUUUUCAAUUUGGACUACUUUUCCAGAAACGGAGGGAGGGAGUAUUACUUUGCACAAGCUUUAGAAUUGCCUGUUAAUGCAGUAGGGUUUUAAUCA
RNA transcript from Papaver somniferum (opium poppy), 1945 nucleotides. It is a transcript of the gene named inner membrane protein PPF-1, chloroplastic-like, with no coding region annotated. The record is from RefSeq and is a predicted model, not a curated record. NCBI's taxonomy places the organism in Eukaryota, Viridiplantae, Streptophyta, Magnoliopsida, Ranunculales, Papaveraceae. The transcript has 13 exons.